RNAcentral lists this ribosomal RNA (387 nucleotides) under uncultured bacterium. RNAcentral describes it as "bacterial SSU rRNA". It matches the Rfam family "Archaeal small subunit ribosomal RNA", at positions 339 to 727 of the family's 1478-position model. The record is from RNAcentral.
GUACGAAAACUCUCCAAUGCGCGAAAGCGUGAGAGGGGAAUCCCAAGUGCUCGUACACAGUACGAGCUUUUGCCAAGGGUAAAAACCUUGGAGAAUAAGUGGUGGGCAAGACCGGUGCCAGCCGCCGCGGUAACACCGGCGCCACGAGUGGGAGUCGCGAUUAUUGGGCCUAAAGCGUCCGUAGCCGGCCGAGUAAAUUCUUUGUGAAAUCGUUAGGCUUAACUUAACGGCGUGCAGAGAACACUGCUUGGCUUGGAACCGGGAGGGGUCUGGGGUAUUCCUUGGGGAGCGGUAAAAUGCUAUAAUCCUUGGAAGACCACCUGUGGCGAAGGCGCCAGACCAGAACGGCUUCGACGGUGAGGGACGAAAGCUGGGGGAGCGAUCCGG